CCGACAGGAUGGGGACAACAUUCCGAAAGGAAUGCUAAUACCGAAUGAAGUGCAGGGGAGGCAUCUCCCCUGCAUGAAAGAUGGCCUCUUUUUAUGCUAUCACCUGUCGAUGGGUCUGCGUCUGAUUAGCUGGUAGGUGAGGUAACGGCUCACCUAGGCGACGAUCAGUAGCCGGUCUGAGAGGAUGAACGGCCACAUUGGGACUGAGACACGGCCCAG
Molecule: ribosomal RNA, 219 nt
Filed under: uncultured Veillonellaceae bacterium
Lineage: Bacteria; Bacillati; Bacillota; Negativicutes; Veillonellales; Veillonellaceae
Description: partial 16S ribosomal RNA
Rfam family: Bacterial small subunit ribosomal RNA
Source: RNAcentral